UCGGGGCAGACGGCAGGACCGGGGCUGAUGCUGUGCCUGCCUGGCCCGGCCCCGCCGGCGAGGCCUCUCCGGGGCGAGGAUCAGCAGCUGGACUGACAAACGAGUGCGAGAGGGGAGGGUGGAGAAAUCCCCUGGUGAAGUGUGGCUGAUCUUCCUCUUAGAAGAUGCUCAGCCACAAUGGUACAUCCACCUGGGCUCACUGUAAGGAAUUCUAAUUACUGUUAACAGGAAGGAAAUUUAAGAAUGGAGAAAGACUUAAGGAAAUAUUUUUUAAAGGUCUACUAGCACCACAAGACGUAAAGGCACGUAUCAUUAGUCCAGAAAGGACAAAAGCAAUGAU
This 340-nucleotide long non-coding RNA is filed under the name Parus major (Great Tit). Its description in RNAcentral is "lncRNA (ENSPMJG00000013545.1)". Lineage: Eukaryota; Metazoa; Chordata; Aves; Passeriformes; Paridae. The record is from RNAcentral.